This 253-nucleotide ribosomal RNA is filed under the name uncultured bacterium. Its description in RNAcentral is "partial 16S ribosomal RNA". It matches the Rfam family "Bacterial small subunit ribosomal RNA", at positions 524 to 776 of the family's 1533-position model. The record is from RNAcentral.
UACGAAGGGGGCUAGCGUUGCUCGGAAUUACUGGGCGUAAAGCGCACGUAGGCGGAUUGUUAAGUCGGGGGUGAAAUCCUGGAGCUCAACUCCAGAACUGCCUUCGAUGCUGGCGAUCUCGAGUUCGGGAGAGGUGAGUGGAACUGCGAGUGUAGAGGUGAAAUUCGUAGAUAUUCGCAAGAACACCAGUGGCGAAGGCGGCUCACUGGCCCGAUACUGACGCUGAGGUGCGAAAGCGUGGGGAGCAAACAGG